UCUUAUCGAGUUAUUGUCUCACUAAGACGAAGAUUGACGAGUUGAGCUCAUUUUAGAUAAUUUAACAUUCAAUUUUAAUUCCCUCUUGGGAAUUGUCUACGGUUCGUUUUCCAUGCAAUUCCCAACGGUGGAAGAAUGUGAUUUCGACCGGCAAUUUUUAUUUGACGAGUAUAUGUGGCCAUUUCUCAUCGUUACGAUUUAAAAAAGGUAUCGUAGAGAAGCUAAAUAACUCUUUCGUCCUAUGUAAAAAUUGAAUUGUUUAGCUAAGUUUAUGAUGCACGACAGCCUGUUGAAUUUCCGUAGCGUUUUUUUUAGACACCUUAAGGGUAUAAUAAUUAUUGGCUUGGAUUUGGCAAAGAUGUUGGAUUGGGUUUGGCAUUGUUUAAAAUUUUCAUCCAACGUUGUUGUGGCGUCGUUUAAGCACCAGCUGUGUUG
Paramuricea clavata is the source of this 435-nucleotide non-coding RNA. The record is from the annotation of a GenBank genome assembly. Lineage: Eukaryota; Metazoa; Cnidaria; Anthozoa; Malacalcyonacea; Plexauridae.